CGGGUCAUUGACAUCCUUCACCAAGUUGCUUGUCUGCCAGCUUGAGUCCCGGAGUUAUGAGCUGCCUGGAUCUCUGAGUCACUACCAUUAGUGAUGGAUAUAAAGCCAAGAAACAAAGUCAGGCAUGGAAGUCUCUGGCAACAGAGAGGUUGGAAGAGGAGAUAUUUAAAGUGGUCCUGAAGCUUUCACAGUAGAGAAUGUUAGAGAGACACUGUGGGAAGAAAGGGCUUUGCUUCCAGCAAGUUCCACCAUCAUCCACCAUAGGCAACUUUCUGGCAACAUGUGAGUCAUGGUGGUAUAUUCUUCAACAAGGUCUGUAUCUCAGCAGGAUGGGGAUUUAUAUAGAGCUUUUCCUUGGGUGUUCAUAUCAAUACUAGGAUUGGUGACUACUCUUUAUAUCUGGCAUUUUUAUACUCUUUAGAGUUGUCUUUACUGAUUAGCCCAUCUCUCAUUAUUUUAAACUCUUGUUAUACUUCAUUUUUCUUUAUACUGAUAUUCUCUGUUCAAAUCCUGCAUGGUUGCUCUCUCCUGAUUGGAUCCACACUGACACAUUGACCAAAUGACAUUCUACAAUCAAAUUUAUGACACUUUAUGAUACUGAAGUAUAAAAUAAAGAUUUUUGUGCUAGUUAUCAUAAUUAAAUUGUACCAUCUCUCCAAAUCUAUAUAUCCCACAUGGAUUAUAGAUCUAAAUGUGAAAGUUACGUUAUACAGUCUUUGGAAAAAAAUACUAGGGCCAUAUUUAUGGCUUUGGAAAAGGCAAAGAGCUCUUACACAGCAACAUUAUCAAACCCAUUAAUCAUAACAUUAAAAAAUGAAAAAUUGUACUACGUUCAAAUAAGAAUUUAUAUUCAUCAAAAGUCACAAUUAAAUAAUCAAAAAUAUAAAGUGACUUUCAUUUAAUAUAUAAAAACAACUCCUACAAAUGAUGACAAAAGGCUGAGAACACAAUAGAAAAAUAAGCAAAAGAUUUUAUAUUUCAUAAAACAAGACAGCUACCCAGAUGGCCAAUAAUUUUAUUAAAAUAUAUGCAACUUCAUUAGUCAUUAGGAAAUGCCAGUUAAAUCCAAAAUGUGAUAUGUGAUAACAGUACAACUACCAGAAAAGCUAAGAUGAACAAAAUAAAAAUUAAAAAUAUACAUAAUACUAAGCUCCAGCAAGAGUGUAGAGCAACUGGAAUGCUCACAAAUUGAUAGUGGGAGUGCAAACUGGUAUAAAAACUUGUCCAAAAUGUUUGCCAAUAUCUACUAAAAUGAAUAUGUGCAUAGUGUAUCACCCGACAUGUAUGUUUACCAAAACUAUGUACAAAAGUGUUCAUAACAGCACUAUACGUAAUAGCCUGAGAUUCAAAAUAACUGCUGCCCAUCAGCCAUGGAAUGGAAAAAGAAAUGGUAGUAUACUUAAGCAGUUUCCUACAGUACAGAAAUGAGAAAUGUCAAACUAUUAUGUACGCAAGAAGUCAGACAAAGAGCAAAUACUUAGAAAUCAGCCUCCGUGAACAAAAGUCAACCUUUGUGGAAGAAAGUAUCUCGACAGACAAGACGUGGUUUGGAGAUGCCUGUUAAUCUUCUGGCUCUUAUUAGUGCUGGGAUGACAAGUGUGCUGACAUUUUAAAAUUCACUAAGGUACACACUAAUGAUUGGUACAGUUUUCUGGAUGUUUGUUAUACUACUAGAAAGACUUAAAAAAAUCAUAAAAAUAAGAUGGUUCUUCAAUAGAAUAAGAAAGAUCUUCAUACAGGUAGGAUAUGAUAUUCCUAUCCAGUCAUAUUACUCACUGAAAUAUUAUUAAUUCCCAAUUAUCUUUAUUGAUGUUACUUUCUAAAGAGUCCUUUAAUUAACAUUUGUCACUUCUAUGCGUCUCUUCUUUGAGCUUAUAAAGUAGCCAUUUAGUUACAUGCUUACAGUCUGAAGCUUUCCAUUUCUCACAGAUUUAUGUGACAAAUAACAGAGUUAUAUUACUUAGAGAAAACUGUAUGAGUCCUUUCACAAGCGCCCAGAAACAGGUCACGUAUAACACUUUGUUAAAUGUAACAACAACCAUUCUUGCCUUAGAAACUCAAUACUCAAGUCAAGGUUUAUGGGAAAAGAAGCAAGCAUGUGAAUGAAAGCACAAGUAACAGUAAGAGCUGACAUACUUGGCAUUUCAAAAAUGGGAACUUGAUUUAAUAUAGCCAAAAGAGUGAUGGUUGAUGGAGUCAAAUUAUGAAGGGUCUUGUGGCCCACAGAAAGACUCUGAUUUUGAUUCCAAGCAAGAUAAGAAGCCAUUAGAUAAUUUUCACUGAUGAAAAAUAUGAUUUCAGGUAAUUGUCACAGUUGUGUAUCGCUUUACCUAUCACCUACCAGUGCAGACCAACUGAGCCAGACACGAAGGGAGAAGGAUUAUGUAUGUAAAUAAAUACCAAAUCACAGUUUACAGAAUAAUUUAGUCUCAUUGCUUUCAAUGACUUUUGGAAACUCAAAGUAUCUUCUAGAUAUCACACUUAAAUGAGUAGUUAAUUACCAUGAAAACACAGAACUAACAAUGCUCACUUGCACUUGGGUUAGAAUUAUGCUACCUGCUUAUCACUUGGUCAUGGUGCUUAAAAUCUUUUCAUUAGGGGCGCCUGGGUGGCUCGGUCGGUUAAGCGUCCGACUUCGGCUCAGGUUAUGAUCUCACGGUCCGUGAGUUCGAGCCCCGUGUCGGGCUCUGGGCUGACAGCUCAGAGCCUGGAGCUUGUUUCAGAUUCUGUGUCUCCCUUUCUCUCUGCCCCUCCCCUGUUCAUGCUCUGUCUCUCUCUGUCUCAAAAAUAAAUAAACGUUAAAAAAAUUAAAAAAAAAUCUUUUCAUUAAAUAUCCCUAUGCAAAUAUAUUAUUAAUAAACAUUUCAAAUUAAUACAUAUCUCAUAUCAAACAAUAUUUGACUAUUACACAUUUGAUUCAAGAUUUGUUCAGCCAAUACUUAUACCAACUAUCAAAAAUUCAUGUUCAUAAUUUGUGUGUAUAUCUAUAUAUAGAUAUAUAUAUAGAUACACAAAUUCUACACUCCCUGUUUUUAAAGAUGCAUCACUCUAUUGUCUUUCACUGAUUAUUUUGCUUUUAAAUCAUUUCUUCUGGUCAGUCAUUUUGUCUUGAUACCUGCUGGCACAUUGAUUAGUUUGUGACACAUCAAAAAUAAAAAAAGUCAGAAAAAGUGUAGAGUGAAGAAAUAUGGUAACAGAACUAAACGAGUUUGCUCCUUGGUGAAUCACAGAUAGAAACCAUGGCAGGUAGAGUUGUUGCACAAAGCAAACUAUUUGCAGCAAACAAGGAGAUCAUGGAAAAUAACCGCCACAACUGUGAUUUACCAAACAAAGGUAAAUGGGUUCCUUUUAUUUAGGGUUAGGGAUAAAUACUUACAAAGGGAGGCCUUGUUCAUCAUUUGUAGAGGCAGGCGUAGCAUUGCUCCUGUGACUUAAGGAAACAUGCCAAUCAAUGCAUUGGAUGUCAUGUAAAUGAGGCUUGUGCCUUGGGCAGAGAUCUUAGUAUUAUAGUGACAUAAAGGUAACUGUUGGGAACUCCAGGAGUCACUUCGUGGUCUAUCUGUGCAGGCCUGAGUUGGCAUUAAGUUCAAACUGGUCUGGGUGGUCUGGGUCGCUGGAGUUCCUCCCCCAGGUGGUGGUUAUUGCUUCCGGGGUAGUUUUGAUUUCCACAGGGGAUGCUUUGCCUGUAUGGUCUUUCGCCACAGUGACAAGAUAAACUGGAAAGAAGAGAUUACAGAAAAUUACGGGACAAAGAUCGGUGGGUACAAGCAGGUCCUCAACUAUACAAUGGGACUAUGAACAAACACAUCAAUGGAUUGCUUCAAGAGUAAAAUGAGGUGAGACGCAGUGGCUGAAGUUCACUGAAGCAGUGUUUCCCCUCCCCCCCACCCCCCAGAAAACGGCUAGAGGGGGCUGAAGUCGGGGAGCUCCUUGCUUGCGAGUGUCAGACUCCAGUGAAAGUGUCUCCUCAGAGCAAGUUUUGUUGAGAACAGUAAACUUUGGUGUAUUUCGGAACGACUCAUUUUCCCCUCUGCUCACCAGAACCCUGAGGGGAUUUUUCUACAGGAUUCACUGUGAGGCCUGGUGCAGCUCCGAGAGGUAAAACUGGGUCCUCCUGGAGUUUUUCCUCUCUCACACUUGUCUACACGGAGACUCCAGCAAUUUGCCAAUUACAGUUGCGGUCUUCCAGCCCCAGUACUGGUUCCUGUGCAGGUUUUGCGUGUGGCUUUCUGGUACCAUAGUGGUGAUUUUCUGUAUCUGCUUGUCUCUCACUCUCUCUGAUUUUGCAGGCAAGAGUUUGCCCUGGGAAUCUGACUUUUCUGAAAGAUCUAUGAAGAGGUUGAUUUUUUAGUUUGUUCAGGUUUCUUACUUGUCAUUAUGAUGGAGUGAAGACUUCCACGCUUUGUAAAUGCUGGACUGGAAACCGGAAAUAAUUCAAGUUCUCAGCAAUUUUUUUCACAAGGGGCCCACAUUUUCGAGUACUGCAACUUGUGUAGGACAGACCGUUAGGGUGCUCAGAGGCUCUCUCCUGCCUGCUUCCUCUCUCCCUUCCUGUUUUUUUCUGACCCUCAUCCAUACGACUGUCUAACCAUCUGUCCUCUGCUGACUUCUCCCAGAUGCACUAUUCCCAACUGCCUACUUGGGAUCUUGAUUCUCAUAUCUAGUAAAAUUCCGAAAUAUUUUCCUUGGAGAUUUGUCAUCAUCAUCAUGAGGAUCACCAUACACAUAAUCACACAAUCAGAAACAAACAAAAGUCUGAGAAUCUUUUUAUGUUUAAUUCUUGUAUUCCCUUUAGAUUCUCCGUCCAAUUUAAGAGAAUGUCCUUCCAGCUCUACCUCCAAACUCAAUCCCAAGUUACAGCAUUUAUGGUCUAAUACCACCAUCCACAUGAAGGAAGAACACAGACCUGCUUCGCUCAAUGUUUGGUGGAAGGAUGUAGGCUGUGCAACAAUCUGAAUGAUCUUACAUUAGGCUUGCUUCAUUGUGUCCUACCAUCCCUAAGGUGCUCUGCCCCAGUGUAUUUUGUGUGAGAAAUUAGAAGUAUGCAUCACAAAGUAAGUACAUGUCUCCUUUUAAAUGAUUUAUUGUGUUAAUGUAACAUAAACAACUUCUCUCUACAAUGCAUAUCCCUUAUUAGAGAAUCCAAAUAUCUUUCCUGUUGCAAAAUACCCAAUUUGUAUCUGAAAUGGUUAAUUUUAUGUGUCAACUGGGUUAAGAGAUGUCCAGAUGGCUAGUCAGACAUUAUGUCUGGAUCUGUCUGUGAGGGAAUUUCUGAAAGGGAUUAGUAUUUGCUUCAGUAGACUGGGAGAUGGCCACUCAUAGUGGUGAGGGAAACUCUCUCACUCAGUCUGCUGAUGGCCCCAAUAGAACAAAAGAUGAAAGAAGGACCGAUUCCCUCUCUCUUCUUGAACUAGAGCAUCUAUCUUCUCCUGCCCUCAGGCAUCAGUGAUCCUAGAUGACAGGCUGUUGGACCCAGACUGAAAUACACUACGAGUUUUCUGGUUCCUCAGCUUGCUGACAACAGACUGUGGGCUUCUCAGCCUCUGUAGCCCUGUGAGCCAAUUCCGGUGACAAAUAUCUUCACAUAUGUAUAUAUAUCCUACUGUGUUGUUUUUUCCCUCUAAUACAAUAUCUAAGCAAAGUUGAAGAUGUCCUAGAACAUUCACACUUGAUGGAUUUAUUGUCAAGGGGAAGAAAAGUGGCUGUAGAGGACUGUGUAUGUGCAUUGGUGUUAAAGCAGGUGGUAUGCGUAUUCAGAUCAUAAAAUGUAAUCUAAGAGAAAACAAAGGUGAACAAAGGGCUGACCCAAACAUUACUCAGUGUAUCCUGUUUAGCACUUCCAUUUUCUUGUGCAGUUUACUUUUUCCUUUAUUUUUCCUAUUGACUAUGUCCUAUUUAAUGGAAAAUCCAAUUUUCACCCUCUCUCAUUUUAGAAAGACUACAUUAAAUUCACUUUCCUCCAGCCUUGGACUGAAUGAAAUCCCCACGCUGAAUCUAGCAGUUGUUAAAGGUGCACUAAGCCAUCUAAUGUAUCUCAUAAGGAUUUUUAAGUACAAGAAGUUUUGGAAUUGAAAUAAAGGUAGCAUCCACCUGAUUUACCCAUGGAUGGUGGUUCCACUGGCAGUUUCCAUUUUGUUUAGUGGUUCAGUGGUGUUACGGUUUGGUGUAAGUUGUGUUUUUAUUACUUGUGGUUUUCUGCAUUUUCAGUUUAUAGAUUUACAUAUCUAUAUUAGACAUACAAGUAUAUUUUAAUUCAAAGAAGAUCAGACUGAUACAGUGGUGUCUUUCUCAUUGGUGUCAGAUUUUUCUUUAAAAAAUAAUUAGAUAAAAGGUCACGUCGGGCAAAUUCUUUAUGAAAAGUAAAGAUUUCCGAUGCCGAAGUGUAGUGAGCAUGUUAAGCCCUUGUCAAGGAAUAUAUCAUUUCUACUUAGCUCUUCCUAGAUAAAGUGACUGUAUUGAGUCUUCAGUGAACUCUGUUAUUCUGGAGUAAAGGAGAAAUGACUCAGAGGAAAUACGUGAAGGGCAUCUUGAAAAAGGGAAUUGUAACUGCAACUUUUCAAACCUUUGCAAAUUAUAGUAUUCUUCUCUAGCUGGAACUCUGCUUUCUGUUCAAAUUAAGUCGAAGGUGAUUAGUAACCCUUACAUUAGAAACUCUUCCCGUGAUGACACUGUUAGCUUUGAGAGAAAAUUAAGUUAGGAAAAAGUUUAGUUUGAUAAAACACAGUUGCAGAAUUAUAAGUCAGUGUCUGUAUCGCUUUAUUACUUGGAAAAUGACUGGAAGGAAGCAGUAUCCUAGCAGUGUUUCCAUUCAGGUUUUUCAUACUGGAAAUGUUAAUUCAUUUAUAAAAACUAGAGACAUAGAACUAUUACAAAUCUUGAUUUCAGCUCAGGUUCCCCUAAAAUAGAAAAGCUGCCAGCGUGCCUAUUUCUGAUCCAAAUGCGGAAAACCACAGUGCCAUUUCUCAAAGGUAACAACCCCGCCAUUGCUCUGCCUGAGGACUUUAUUAGAUUUAAUACUGAGAGCUCACAGUCAGCUACUGCCAGUGAAUCCCUUGAAAGCUGGAAACUUGGAUUAUCUUUUGUCUACAUUUCUAUUACACAGACUGUUGUUAACCUUCCAUUCCCAACUUGAACCUACUUAAUGGUGUUGCCAACCAGCAGCUGUACCUCUGAGGGCCUCCAGCAAAAUAAAAGCUGUAUUUCACAUCUUAGGUGUAGUGUAGAUUUCCAAGAAGAAAAGUAACCUGAUCUUUUAACAUUCUGUUUGUACUUGCAAAGUAUAGCACAUUUGCAAUAUGAUAUUCCUUCUGGGAGAUCACCAUGUGGAUUAUUCUGCAACUUUCACAGGUGAUUGAAGUAUUUCAAAUUAGAGUCUUGAAAUAAAGGAGCUCAUGGCCAGGAGCAUUAUCACUUCACAGAGUGGAAAAUGAGGUUUACUAGUUACUAAAUCAAUAGAAAUAACAGGAUUUGUAUGAAUAACUUAGGGACUCUUUAUUGAAGCUUUUGUUUUCUUCAUUCUUUUCCUUGCUUACUCCUAAUUUAAAACAUAGCAAGUAUGGCUUCAACUUCACUCUUCAUUAUACAAUGUCAAUAUUCUUGGUUUUUUAUACAUGACACAUACACACAACACUGCUCCAGGUAUACAUAAGGGCAUCGUAAUUGAUGCUUACAUGUUAAACUAAAAUACGUGCCUAUUAGUUUCCUCAUUUAGACACAGGUAAAUGUGAAGGGAAUAGUUCUCAACGUAAGAGAAAAUCAGAAUGUCAUCUCUGGAUGAAAGUCAUUUAACAGUUCUUUACUGUGCAUCCCAGGGCUACAUGCUCUUAUUAAAUAUCUAAGCCAAUACUUCACUAUUGUUUCGUUUUACUUUUUUAAGGUUUAUUUAUUCUUGACAGACAGAGAGACAGAGGCAGAAACAGACACAGAAUCUGAAGCAGGCUCCAGGUUCUGAACUGUCAGCACAGAGCCCAACGCUGGGCUUGAACUCACAAACUGCAAGAUCAUGACCUGAGCCAAAUUCAGACGCUUAACUGACUGAACCACCCAGGCACCCCAGGCCAGUACUUAGUCAUUAUUAAUAUUCUGAUUAGUUACCACAAAAUAUUCUUGCAUUGAAGCAAGAGUUUUGUUGCAUAGAAUUCAAUGUUCUUAUUCAACAUCUAGAGAUCAUGAUUAAGGAAAUCCUCUACUCAGGAUAUAUACUUAACAUGAAAGAAACAGAAAAACAAAAAGAAAAAUGAUUACUCCCCAUAACUUCUUAAUGUCCUCAAACUUCUGAAAUUUUUUUGUAGUGGCAUUCCAGCUUACAAGUAUCUUUCCAAUGAAUAGGAUAAUUCUUGGCUUUAAUGUCAUAUUAUCCCAAGCAAAAACUCAGGGAAGGCUACACAUGCAUAAAUUAACCUGACCCGUAAUUCACAGCCUCGACACUAGCUUCAGAAGGAAAACUCAGUAUACACCCAAACCCUACCAGUCAAAUCUGUGGAAUGGUGACUAAUGCUUUGCAAAAUACAGAAAUACUAACCGUUCUUUUUAUUUUUUUUUCUAGUAUAGUUAACAUACAGUGUCAUGUUACUUUCAGGUGUACAAUGUAGUGACUCAACAAUUCUAUACAUUACUCAGCGUUCAUCACCUUAAAUAUACUGUUAUCCCCUUCACCUAUUCCAUUCCUUCCCCGAUCCACUCCUCUCUGGUGAUCAUUAGUUGGUUCUCUGUAGUUAAGAGCAUGUUUCUUGGUUUAUCUCUUUUUCUCUGUUCAUUUGUUUCUUCAGUAUUACGUAUUAGUGAAAUCAUAUGGUGAUUUUUUUUUUCGCUUAGGAUUAUACCCUCUAGAACCAUCCAUGUUAUUGCUGGUAAGAUUUCAUUCUUUUUUAUGGUUAAUAUUUCAUUGUAUACAUACACCACAUAUUCUUGUUUUCUUUUUUAAUUUUUUAAAUGUUUAUUUUUGAGAGAGACAGACUGUGAGCAGUGGAGGGGCAGAGAGAAAGGGAGACACAGAAUCUGAAGGAGGCUCCAGGCUCUCAGCUGUCAGCAGAGAGCCUGAUGCAGGGCUCGAACUCACAAACCAUGAGAUCAUGACCUGAGCUGUAGUAAGACACUGAACCAACUGAGCCACUCAGGCCCCCCAUACACCACAUAUUGUUUAUCCAUUAAUCUAUGAAAGGACACUUGGGUUGCUUCCACAGUUUGGCUGUUGUAAACGAUGCUGCAGUAAACACAGGAGUGCGUGUCUUUUCAAAUUAGUGUUUUCAUAUUCUCUGGGUAAAUACCCAGUAGUAUAAUUCCCAGAGUGUACAGAACUCUAUGUUUAAUUUUUGAGAAACCCCCAUACUGUUUUCUACAGUGGCCACACCUGUUUUCACUACCACCAACAGUGCACAAUGGUUCCUUUUUUUCCACAUCCUUGUCAACACUUGUCUCUUGUGUUUUUCAUUUUAGCCAUUCUGACAUGCGUGAGAUGAUAUCUGUUGUGGAUUAGAUUUGCAUUUCCCUGAUGACGAGUGAUGUUGAGCACCUUUUCAUGUGUCAGUUGACCAUGUGUACGUCUUCUUUGAAGAAAUGUCUGUUCAUGUCCUCUGGCCGUUUCUUAAACUGGAUAUUUGGGUGUUUUGGUGUUGAGUUGUAUAACCUCUGACACAUAUUUAAAAAGUGACUGCCGAUAUCAGAGACAGGACUGCCUCUGCUCUCUUCUCGGAUUUUUAUGGUUUCAUGUCUCACAUUUAGGUCUUUAGUCCAUUUUUGAGUUUGUUGUGUAUGGUAUGAGAAUUUUGUACACUUUCAUUCUUUUGCAUAUAGCUGUCUAGUUUUCCCAAUAUUAUUUGUUGAAAACAAUGUCUUUUUCCCAUUGCUUAUUUUUGCCUCCCUCAUCAGAGAUUGACCAUGUAAUUGUGGGGUUUUUUCUGGGCUCUCUUUUCUGCUCUAUUGAUCUAUGUGUUUCUUUCUGAGCCAGUACCAUACUGUUUUGAUAACUAAAGCUUUGUAUUACCUUGAUUCUUGACAUUAUGAUACCUCCAGGUUCAGUCAUAUUUUUAAGACUGUUUUGUAUAUUCAGGGUCUUUUGUGGUUCUACACAAAUUUUGAGAUUACUUGUUCUGAUUCUGUGAAAAAUUCUGUUGGUAUUUUGAUAAGGAUUGCAUUAAAUCCGUAGAUUGCUUUGGGCAGUAGGGACAUUUUAACAAUAUUUGUUCUCUCAGGCCAUGAGCAUGGAAUAUCUUUCCAUUUGUUUGUGUCAUCUUCAAUUUCUAUCAUCACUGUUUUAUAGUUUUUCAACUACAGGUCGUAGGAUAAGUUUAUUCCUAGGUAUUUUAUUAUUUUUGGCACAACUGUAAUGGGAUUAUUUUCCUUCUCAUUCUGCUACUUCAUUAUUAGUGUAUAGAAAUGCAACGGAUUUCUCUAUAUUGAUUUUGUAUCCUGCAACCUUACUGAAUUCAUUUAUCAGUUGUAGUAGAUAUUCAAAUCAUGAAAAGAAAAAGCAUAGACACUUAAAGCUGGAAGGAACCAAAAUCAGUUCAUCAGAUUCCCAUAUUGUUUGCAAAAAGAAGGGGGAGGUCAAGUGACUUAUAGCGUUAAUACAGAGACAUAGUGAAACACAUUCCACUUGCAUUCUACUAUAUAAUUUAAAAUUACUGUAUUGGAUUUUACCGUAAGAUAUCUGAAACCUUCUAGAAGGGCUGAGCUUGCUAUUAUUUGGCUAAGGCCAUAUUGGACACGUCAUGUGUCUGCUCAGCAGGGCCAUUGCCAGAGAGAGCGCACAUUUCUGGGACAAUUUCCAGCCCUUUAUAGUUAGUUCUUCACAUACCCCAAACAUUACUAAAGCAAUUAACCUUGUUGAAUCUUUUAUUUAAAUCACUGACUUGAAGCCUUUAAUUUAAGCCAACAAAAAGUCCCUACAAAAUGUCGGCAGUUUGUUUUGUGGUAACUACAGAAGUACUAUCUAGGCUUACAACUAGGUUAUUGAGUCAAUAAGCUUUUUCAAAUAAUUCAUCAAAUAUUUAUUGAAUACCAAUUAUAUUUGAAACAGGGUAUCAACUGUCAUUCAAGGCUGGGAAAGUACAACUUUUUUUCUCAAGAAGCUUAUGAAUCAUGUGAGUAACUGUAAUGUAUUGUAUUCCAAACAUUUGAUUGGUCCUAAGAAAAUAACAUAAAGUGCUCCAUGGUUUCAAAGUUCAAAUCAACUGUGUUGUUUGAGGAAGAUCAGGAAAGUCUUGAGAUGAUAAUUGACUUUGUGCCUAGGUAGUUUUUUAAAUUGUAAAGAGUGUUUUAUAUUGUUUUACAAAAGAACACAUUUUCAGUAUAAUAAAAAAACAUAAGCAAAAACCAAAAAUACAACAUCUAAAAUUCCAUCAUUCACAGAAAUGGGUAUGAAUGAUACCUGGUGCAUGUUACUCCAUACAUUCAUAUGCAUGCUAUACAUUAUAUAUCUUACAUUUAAAAAUAGCUUCAUGAAAUCAAAUAUUAUCCAAGUAGAAUAUGACUGUACAUAUUUUAUUUAAUUUAAAGAAACUAUCUUUCUUUCAAUGUAUUUUAAUGUCCAGGAAACAGAAAAAUCGAUCUUUCUACCUAUAGCAGAGACUCUUCUAAAUCUAAUUGAGUGGCAGGAAGCUCCUGAAAUGCCAAAAUUGUGUUUUUAUUUGUUAUACAGGAUGUAGUGAUAUUCAAGUUGCAUUUUGGAGUUCUGCAUCUCCCUAUAAGAGAGGUCUUUUAAUUAGUAAUAUAGUAGACAUAUAGAGUUUAUUCAUUUUAGUUCUUAAUACCACAGUGAGUAUAUGGUAAUUUAUUCUUUUACUAAUAUUCAGUGCCUAGCAUCAGGUUACUAUAUUCUCAGCAAUUUAUCAUCUGGGGAUUUUUUAUUUAAUUUUUUUCUUAAUGUUAGUAUUAGUCUGCAUUAGCAAGUAAUAAAAUGCAUUGCUUUAUUAGAACUUCAAUAAGGAUAGAAUACAUCUUUAUUUCCAUAUAUGUAAACCAAAAUAAAAGAUUUUAUCAUAUUUUUCUCUCCUCAACCAAGUGCUAAAUAUUAAAAUUUUAAAUAUAUAGCUACCAGUUUACCAAAAGAAAUUUUUCUACAAUAUGAGGGCCUGAAGACCUGUAAAUAUAUUUAGUUAAGCCAAUCAUGAUAAUAGUACAUAUGUAUUUAUUCCUAGUGUGUGUUAGGAGUUGUGUUACUCAGUGCUAGAAACUUUGAAGAUUCACAACAACCUUAUGAGUAAGGUAUUGAUAUUAUUCCCAUUUCAUAGUUUAAGUGGUUGAAGCACAGAGAUAGUCAUUAUUAUGCACAAGGUUACCUAGGUGAUGAGGGCGGGAACUGAGAGAGUAAUCCAGGCCAUUAGACACUAUGCAAUACUACUUCUUGUGAAAUGAAACUAUACUUAUUCUUUUACCAAAGGAAUAUUUUCAGUGGAGAAUUUUUUGAAAGAUUUUUUUUUAUUUAUUUUUGAGAGAGACAGAGGCAAAGACGGAGGGAGACACAGAAUCCGAAGCAGGCUCCAGGCUCUAGGCUCUGAGCUGUAAGCACAGAGCCUGAUGUGGGGCUCAAACUCACGGACCGUGAGAUCAUGACCUGAGACAAAGUGGGAUGCUUAACCAACAGAGCCACCCAGGCACCCCUCAGUGGAAAAUUUUUGUUCUUGGUUGAACAUCUUUUACAUAUACCACUAGGCCCUACAAAGACGACACUGUAACUUUAUGAUUACACAGCUUUUAAUGUUUAGAUCAACACUUUUAAAAAAUACUAGUUUCAUGAAAUGUUUAAAUGUAUGACUUGAGGAAAGCUAUCCAUAAUAAAGUAAUUUGAUACAUUUGGGCUUAAACAAAAUUAAUCAGGCUUCUGUACUAUGCCAUUUUAGAGACUUUACAUGUGAAAUAUACACUGUGACUCUUCAAGGGUAAUAGAAUGUGUCCAGUUUAUCAUAUGAAAACCAAGCAAGGAAUGGGUUUAUUGAAAGUUACGUAAUUUUAUUGCUUAUCUUAUUGCUUGAUAGUGGGU
Acinonyx jubatus (cheetah) is the source of this 12979-nucleotide long non-coding RNA. RefSeq lists it as uncharacterized. The transcript is spliced from 9 exons. NCBI's taxonomy places the organism in Eukaryota, Metazoa, Chordata, Mammalia, Carnivora, Felidae. The record is from RefSeq and is a predicted model, not a curated record.